AACCAAAUGAUACGUAGAGGGGUAGAUCCAGACGAGAUCACAUUCACCGGUUUGCUUUCUGCUUGUAGCCGUUCUGGGAUGUUACAGAAGGGGAAGUGCUUUUUUGAGUAUAUCAGUCGAUAUAAAUCCAAUGCAUUAAGGCUUCAGCACUAUGCUUGUAUGGUGGACAUCCUGGGAAGAUGUGGGAAGUUGGAUGAAGCAGAGGAGUUGGUUAGAUAUAUGCCCGUGAAAGCGAAUUCAAUGAUAUGGCUUGCUUUGCUUAGUGCUUGUAGGGUGCAUUCUAAUUUGAAGGUUGCUGAAAGAGCUGCAAAACAUAUUCUUGAUUUAGAGCCAAAUUGUAGUGCUGCCUAUGUCUUGUUGUCUAAUAUAUAUGCAUCUGCUGGUAGAUGGGCUGAUGUCUCUAGAAUGAGAGUGAAGAUGAAACAGGGAGGACUUGCAAAACAACCAGGAUCCAGUUGGGUAGUUUUGAGGGGAAAGAAACAUGAGUUUCUUUCUGCAGACAGAUCCCAUCCUCUAAGUGAGAGAAUAUAUGACAAGCUGGACUGGUUGGGAAAAAAGUUGAAGGAAUUUGGUUAUGUUCCUGAUCAAAAAUUUGCUCUACAUGAUGUCGAAGAUGAGCAGAAGGAAGAGAUGUUGUCUUUUCACAGUGAGAGGCUUGCUAUUGCGUUUGGGCUAGUUAGCACCGUGGAGGGUAGCACAAUAACAGUCAUGAAGAAUCUUCGUGUAUGUGGGGAUUGUCACUCUGUUAUUAAGCUUAUGUCAAAGAUUGUAGGACGCAAGAUUGUUGUAAGAGAUUCUGGCCGCUUUCAUCACUUCAAGAAUGGCAUUUGUUCUUGCGGUGAUUAUUGGUAGCACUAUUGGGGUUUUUUCCUUGUUAAAGCUGCUGGUGGGAUGCCUAUAGGCACAUCAAAGCAUCUUUAUGAUGACCAAAACAAAUAUUUUGAAGAAGAAGAGAAUAGAAUUACGUAGAUAAAUUUUGAGUUGGAAGAGAACUAUGGCUUUGGCUUAAAUGAUGAUUCUGAAGAAGGACGGGGGAUUUGUGAUUUUGCAGAUAAACUUCUCAUGUCUGAUAAUUUGAAUGAAUGAAAGAACAUAGACUAAUGAAAGGAAGGAAGAGAAACAAUAAAAAACAAUACGUGAUGAAAAUAAAGGUAAGUCAAAGCUAAGGAGCUUGUAGGUUGGGGAUCAAAACCUUUGUCUGAGUUCCUGACAUCCAUUGGAAAGAAACAACCAAAGAAUUGUCUCAACUUGAUGUUAGUAUCAUUUCUGGGUAUUGCAGUGAUAACAACCUUUUGACCCAGUGAAGAAAAGGAAAAGGUACAACCAUCUCUGGAAGGAGAUGUGUGAAUAAAUUGUUUUGUGGAUAACAUGGGACAGUAAGAGGAUGUUUUUGGAAGCUUUGAUAAAGCUUCUAAUGUGAGGGUGGGACUUGUUGUUAGGUAAAAGGCAGUGAAACUGAAGCCUUGAUGGAAACAGAAUAAGCAGGUUGUUCCAGAUAGGCACAAAGCUGUAUUGCAUCUGUCAUGGCUAACAAGCUUGUCUACCCGAGGAGUAGUUUGCUGGAGGAGCUGUCAAAGCAUUCAGAGACUUCGAUUUUAACAUAAUGUGUAGUUUCAUGAAGGUUAACGCUCAUCCAUAUGAUUGUUUGCGGAAGAACUCUCAUCAGCUCUCGCAAGUGACAGGAGGGAGACUGCCACUCACAUGGUAUGAAAGUAGCUAUGUUGAUAUGUUACAUGUGACAUCAAUGCCACUGCGACCUGUUGACAGCUUCGGUUAUCCUGUAAGAACAUAUAAAUUCUACAAUGGCUCAACAGUUUAUCCAUUUGGAUAUAGACUCAGCUACACGGAGUUCAGGAACGAGCUAGCAUCCCCAGCUGAAGCCUAUCUUGAAAUCAAAUUGAACAAGUAUAUAUCAGUAAUGCCAUGACUUGAACUCCACCAGUGAAGGCUACAGGCAAAGCUGCCCUGCUGUUUUUGUUGAUGAUUUAAGUUGUGCCAAUCAAUUUGGGUUUGAGGUGACAGUCCAAAACGUAGGGGAUAAAGACGGAAGUGAAGCGGUCAUGGUUUAAUCAAAACCUCCAGAUGGUGUUAGUGGGGCUCAUGCCAAGAAAGUCAUUGGAUUUGAGAGGGUGUUUGUGGCAGCAGGUAAGAGCAACAAGGUGAGAUUUUCUUUUAAUGCUUGCAAGAGCCUAGCAAUUGUAGAUACCACUAGCUAGCAGGUUGAUGUUUCUCCUAGGAGGUGGAGGUUAGGGUUUUUUUUUUCCUUUCUAGAUGUCAAUUUUCAGCUAAGUUGUUUCUUGUGGAGGGCUUCUUUGUCAUGAAAGUAGGUUUUGUUUGCAGGAAUUCAUUUUCAAAUUCAGUGUUUCUCAAUAUUUCCUU
RNA transcript from Populus euphratica (Euphrates poplar), 2379 nucleotides. It is a transcript of the gene named pentatricopeptide repeat-containing protein At5g46460, mitochondrial-like, with no coding region annotated. Lineage: Eukaryota; Viridiplantae; Streptophyta; Magnoliopsida; Malpighiales; Salicaceae. The record is from RefSeq and is a predicted model, not a curated record. The transcript is spliced from 3 exons.